UACGGGGGGAGCAAGCGUUGUUCGGAUUUACUGGGCGUAAAGGGCGCGUAGGCGGCCAGCACAAGUCAGUUGUGAAAUCUCCGAGCUUAACUCGGAAAGGUCAACUGAUACUGUGCGGCUAGAGUGCAGAAGGGGCAACUGGAAUUCUUGGUGUAGCGGUGAAAUGCGCAGAUAUCAGGAGGAACACCCGUAGCGAAGGCGGCACUCUGGGCCGGAACUGACGCUGAGACGCGAAAGCGUGGGGAGCGAACAGG
This 254-nucleotide ribosomal RNA is filed under the name uncultured bacterium. RNAcentral's name for it is "partial 16S ribosomal RNA". It matches the Rfam family "Bacterial small subunit ribosomal RNA", at positions 524 to 776 of the family's 1533-position model. The record is from RNAcentral.